Oncorhynchus tshawytscha (Chinook salmon) is the source of this 1739-nucleotide long non-coding RNA. RefSeq lists it as uncharacterized. The record is from RefSeq and is a predicted model, not a curated record. Lineage: Eukaryota; Metazoa; Chordata; Actinopteri; Salmoniformes; Salmonidae. The transcript has 3 exons.
CAGACUGGGAUAGGGAGAGAUUGAAUAUAUCUGUAAACACACCAACCAGCUGGUCUGUGCAUGCUCUGAGGCCGCGGCUAGGGAAACCAUCUGGGCCGGCAGCCUUGCAUGCCUUGUUAACGUGCUUAAACGUCUUACAUCUUGUAACGGUCGUCGUAUGAAGGAGAAGAGGAGGACCAAUGCGCAGCGUGGGUUAACUUUUUCUUCUCAGGCCCAGACAGCCCACACAGCCACAUUCCAGUACGCUUCCAGCAUGGCCUGCCUUCCACAGCAGCCUCCUCCCCAACUCUGGGGUCAGGAGUUCUGGGUGGUGUCCUGGGCUUUGUGGUCCAUGGGUCAUUGAAGUCAAUGCGCGGCUCCUUGCUGUGUCUUGUCCACCAUGUCAGGCGAUGGAGCUGCAGGGGGAUUGAAGAGGGGAAGAAUGAAUAGGUUAUAACAUGUAACAAAAUGUGUACAUGUUCUUUUCUUUUAACUGAAAUUAAUCUCAUAAGUAACAGCAUAUAUUUUGCAAGUCUGUUUAAUGUUUAUGAUUAAUACAUGUGGCACUCUUACAUGGUGCUCUGGAAUGGCCGGAGUGCAGAGGCUGACAGCAGUGAUGACCAGGCCAGUGAGAGCCAGGAGGAUAAGAGCAAAGUACAGGUAGUGGACAUCCCUGAUGAAGGCUGGCCGUAUGUCUAUCUCUCCACAAGAUGGGGUGCCAUACACAAACACCAGCACCAUCUGCACCAAGCCAACAGCAAGGCCCACGAUCAGACCCCAGAAGGCUCCCUGUGUUAACGGUCAUCCACAUUGAACGCACACACAAAGGGACAGUGUUUUGUAUCAAAUCUCAACAAUGUGCUUUAUGACAUAAUAACAAAUAAUGGCAUAAAACCCUUGAUCUGACCUGCUCAUUGACACGCCUCCAGAAGAUGGCCAUGAUGAAGACAGCAGUGAUGGGAGGAGCCAGGUAGCUGGUGAUGGCCUGGAUGUAGUCAAACAGCUGUCCACUGUUGGCUGACUGGAUAAUGGGGAUCCACAGAAUGCUGAGCACCACCAUUACUAAGAUGAACACCCUGCAGGUGAUGACCACAAACAGGAGCGAUGCCUCCUGCUGCUCCAGUGCCAGCUAGUCCAAUGAACAAACCACUGCCAACAUUACUGGACAUCAGAGAGGCCCCAAUCUGAGACAGCAGAACAAAAUGUACUUCAUUUUGUCCAUUUUUAUCUUUGGAUAUAGAUAGCUAUUAUCAGUAUCAACUAUUUCCAUCCAAUUAUUUAAUGUUAUAAAAGAAACAACUUUCCUAAUUUAAAAUAGAUGAUAAUACUUAAUAGUCUGGAUCAUGAUUAACUUUUUAUCUAGUUGACAUACUAAUUUCUUCACUAAUGUUCAGUUCAAUGCAUAGAGUUUAUUUGAGUUCAAUGCAUUGAGUUCAAUACCAUCAUAAUCUCAGGCUACUUACAGGCCACCAUGUCAUGGAUCUUCCAGCCAAGAAGUAUCCACCCACCGUCCCACGGUUUGCCCUGACAGAAGACUGCGAUAAAGAGUUAAUUUACAUCAUACAUCAAACUAUACUGUCUGUAGAUAUUAGUUACAGCAAAGCCUUCUCAAUGACAUUGCUUUAUACUUAUUAUUUAGUCAAUAUUUCAUUUAUUUGAACAACAGAUUUUGUGAGAGGAAGAAUUCUGAUGAAUUAAUCUCCACAGUACAACUUCAGUGUUAGGUCUGCCCUCUUCAUACAAUGAAAGCAUCCACCAGG